This is a long non-coding RNA of Phyllopteryx taeniolatus (common seadragon), 2160 nucleotides long. RefSeq lists it as uncharacterized. The transcript has 3 exons. The record is from RefSeq and is a predicted model, not a curated record. NCBI's taxonomy places the organism in Eukaryota, Metazoa, Chordata, Actinopteri, Syngnathiformes, Syngnathidae.
UCUGUGAAGAGGUGUGUGUACCAACAAAGUCAAUUCGCACUUUCAACAACAACAAGCCAUGGUUCACUGCCAAACUUAAGCAGCUUCGCCAAGCUAAGGAGGACGCAUAUCAGAGCGAGGACAGGGCCGUGUAUAAUCGCGCUAGAAACCUGCUGACUAAAGAAAUUAACAUUGCAAAGAGGAACUAUGCAGCAAAGUUGGAAAAACAGUUUAGCGCUAACGACUCUAAAUCAGUCUGGCAUGCAUUCCAAUCGCUGACUAAUUACAAGCGACGAUCCCCCCAAGCUGAGAACAAUAGCACACUAGCCGACGACUUGAAUACCUUCAACUGCAGAUUUGAAAAGGACACUUUCACACCCCACACCCAUCCGGCCGCACCCCCGACUACAAUCACACCUCUGACUUCUGCAUUUACCAUCCACGAAAAGGAUGUGAGACGCAUCUUCAAACAACAAAAUAUUAACAAAGCGGCAGGCCCAGACCAUGUGUCCCCAUCCUGCCUCAAAGUCUGCGCGGACCAGCUCGUGCCAGUCUUCACUCAGAUCUUCAAUAGAUCUCUGGAACUGUGCGGAGUACCAUCUUGUUUCAAACGCUCCACCAUCAUUCCAGUCCCCAAGAAACCUGCAAUCUCGGGUCUAAAUGACUACAGGCCUGUCGCCUUGACAUCUGUGGUCAUGAAGUCCUUUGAACGCCUCAUGCUGGACCACCUCAAGAGUGUCACACGUCCCCUGCUGGACCCCCUGCAGUUAGCCUGUCAACAUGGGACUGCACUUCAUCCUUGAACACCUCGACAGUGCAGGGACCUACGCGAGGAUCCUGUUCGUGGACUUCAGCUCAGCGUUCAACACCAUCCUCCCUGAACUCCUUUCAUCCAAGCUUCUCCAGCUCAGCGUCUCACCUGCCAUCUGCCAGUGGAUUUACAGCUUCCUGACGGGCAGGACACAGCAGGUGAGGCUGGGAGAGACCACCUCAUCCACACCCAGCAUCAGCACUGGGGCGCCCCAAGGUUGUGUCCUCUCUCCGCUGCUCUUCUCUCUCUACACGAACGACUGCACCUCAGCGCACCCGGCUGUCAAACUCCUCAAGUUUCCAGAUGACACCACUGUCAUCGGCCUCAUCAAGGACGGUGACGAGUCUGCAUAUCGACAGGAAGCGGAGUGGCUGGAGCUGCGGUGCGGCCGACACAACCUGGAGCUUUACAUGCUCUAGACUGUAGAGAUGAUCGUGGACUUCAGGAGGCAUCCUUCGCCACAGCUGCCCCUCAUGUUCUCUAGCUGCCUUGUGUCAACCGUCGAGACCUUCAAGUUCCUGGAAAUUACAGUCUCUCAGGACCUGAACUGGGCAACCAACAUCAACUCCGUCCUCAAAAAGGCCCAGCAGAGGAUGUACUUCCUGCGGCUUCUGAGAAAGCACGGCCUGCCACGGGAGCUGCUGAGGCAGUUCUACACAGCGGUCAUCGAAUCAGUCCUGUGUUCUUCCAUCAGUCUGGUUUGGUGCUGCUACAAAAAACGACAAACUCCGACUGCAACGGACAAUCAAAACUGCUGAAAGGAUUGUCGGUAACCCCUACCCACCCUUGAGGACUUGCACGCUGCCAGAACUAAGACAAGAGCGUGCAAAAUCCUCUCGGACCCUCCACAUCCCGGUCACCAGCUCUUCCAGUUCCUUCCCUCAGAUGACAGGAAGUGGAGCUGUGGUGCGGCCGACACAACUUGUAGCUGAACACGCUCAAGACUGUAGAGAUGAUCGUGGACUUCAGGAGGCAAUCCUUCACCGCAGCUGCCCCUUACGCUGUCCAACUGCCAUGUGUCAACCGUCGAGACCUUCAAUUUCCUGGGAAUUACAGUCUCUCAGGACCUGAAGUGGGAGACCAACAUCAACUGCCGGAAUAAUUGUCGGUACCACCGUACCCGCCCUUGAGGACUUGCACGCUGCCAAAACUAAGACAAGAGGAUUCAAAAUCCUCUUGGACCCUCCACAUCCUGGUCAUCAGCUCUUCCAGCUCCUUCCCUCAGUUAGGGUCACGGGGCGCUGGAGCCUAUCCCAGCUGACUUCGGGCGAAAGGCGGACUCCACCCUGAACUGGUCUCCAGUCAGUCGCAGAGCAUUUAUUGACAUGGACAACCUGCAGUGGAGACUCCCGUUUCAAUAUGGCGAACAC